Molecule: long non-coding RNA, 235 nt
Filed under: Hordeum vulgare
Lineage: Eukaryota; Viridiplantae; Streptophyta; Magnoliopsida; Poales; Poaceae
Description: long non-coding RNA (HVUL_LNC020639)
Source: RNAcentral
CCAAAAGGGAGUUUUUUUACCUACAAUAACAUUAAGAAACAUAAGUGCCAAAUAAACAACAGUAAAAAGAAAGAAAUCAACAAUAACAUAAGCUCUAAAUCUUUGAGGGUCACUAUACAAUACCAUGAAAGUUUUUGUGUUAGGUAAUUUUGAGGCAUGUAUCCUCCAUGGGCAAUCCUCAUCAGUGCAAUUAGCCCUAAAUCUUUGAGGGUCACUAUACUGCGUGCCAAAGGAC